CCUGUAGGCAAAGAAACUAGAUUCAUGAAUAUUACUCAAUUUUUCUUUAAGAAACACCCUGUCUCACCCUGAGAUCACUGACCUCUGUUCUGCUGGCAGUUUCAGGGAAUAGUAAUCACCCAGACGUUGUGUGGGUUUGCUUUCCUUCUUCUGGAGGAACGGAGGAUGUUGUUGACAGCCAGCCUAGAGCCCUUCAGUCUGCCUUCUGUAUCUCUCCCAUCCACUGGGGCUGCUGCCAUAUAACUGUAAGAUACAACAGCAUACCUGGUACUGUAAAGGAAGUGCUCAUCAGUGCUUGGAGGCAGCACAACUGACAAUCCACAAAGCUGGUCCACUUUUUCUGAUGCUUCAGUAAACCAUGAAGUCUGCUGCUCAGCCUGUUUCUUGUAAAAACACAGUGAUGUGGCACAAUGCUAUUUGCCUGGCUGAAGGCAGGUGGGAGGGAAGUGGUGGGAAAAACCUGAAGCUAGGCAGAUUUUUUUUUUUUUAAGGGGGUAGGAUGGGGUUUCACUUCUCAGGAUUUGUAGUGUUUUCAGACAGUAUAAAUACCUUGUGAAAAUUAAGAGUAUAUUUUGUAAAUUUCUCUCCUGGUUGUCGUAUGCGUAUUUUAUUAAAAACAUCCUUUGACAUCUUCAGAUUAAUAUCUAUAUAUUUCUUUUCUAUGUAGCUUUUCUUUCUCUGCCAUAUUCUCUGUUACUCUUGCCAGCUCUUUUUAUUUCGAUCUUGCAGAGUGGUGGCCUAUCUUUGUUGUGAAGCCAAAAUGCAAAUGUCUUGCUGCCACUUCAAUUUCAUGGCUUGAAGUGGACCUGAUUUGACAUAAACCAGACAUAUGUGGGGAAAUGUAUGAGUACAGAGGGUAUUAAUUAUAUUCUUGAGUGUUGAUCCUGAUGAUAUACAGCAAAUAACUCUGCCUAGUACCUAUCUAGCACCUAAAACUGCACUAAUUCUGGCAUAUGUAAAUCCUAUGCCUUGCAUGCAAAAUGUAUGUUGGUGGGUGAACUGAUUGAACACUAGCAUUACAUGUAUGUGUUAGAACCACUGAACUACUGUCCACUCAGGCAUGUUACGGAAGAAAUAUAUGUGCUUAAGUAAAUCUAUGCUUUUCAAAAUGUGGAGUUGGUGGUUGUCUAACAGCAUUAGGAAGCUCAUUGAGUAGCUUGUAAUCAUCUUUGAAAACCUGGGCCAAACUUUGAUUCUGGCAACUGUGCCUAGGUUAUUUACAGUGCUUGGU
RNAcentral lists this long non-coding RNA (1231 nucleotides) under Anas platyrhynchos platyrhynchos (common mallard). Its description in RNAcentral is "lncRNA (ENSAPLG00000022223.1)". The record is from RNAcentral. Lineage: Eukaryota; Metazoa; Chordata; Aves; Anseriformes; Anatidae.